RNAcentral lists this long non-coding RNA (214 nucleotides) under Elaeis guineensis (African oil palm). RNAcentral's name for it is "long non-coding RNA (EGUI_LNC004349)". Lineage: Eukaryota; Viridiplantae; Streptophyta; Magnoliopsida; Arecales; Arecaceae. The record is from RNAcentral.
GGGCGGCCAAUGCUUGCACCAUGGAAGUAAAAAUCUCUGCUACAAGUUCACAGAAAAUCAAACAUGUAAUGUUCAUUAUAAAAGGAAAGUGCAAAACCACGUUAUGUUUAAGCCUUUCUUUGUAUAAGAAUAUUUAUGGAGCCAAGAUCAAGACCUGCAUUAGCUGUUUGGAUCUAGAAUAUUGAAGCUAUGUGAUGAUAUGUUUUAAUUGUCA